AGAGUUUGAUCAUGGCUCAGAGCGAACGUUCGCGGCGGGCUUAACACAUGUAAGUCGAACGCGAAAGGGAUUCGUCCCCGGUAGCGUGGCGUUCGGGUGAGUAACACGUAGGAAAUCUUCCUUCGAGCGGGGGAUAACGUCCCGAAAGGGAUGCUAAUACCGCAUAUGCCUACGUCGAUCUCGGUCGAUGAGGGGAAAGCUGGCCUCUGUAUACAAGCUAGCACUCGAGAAUGGUCCUGCGGCGCAUCAGCUAGUUGGUGGGGUAACGGUCUAUCAAGGUGAAGAUGCGUAGUUGGUCUGAGAGGAUGAUCAGCCACACUGGUACUGAAACACGGGCCAGACUCCUAUGGGAGGCAGCAGUGGGGAAUAUUGGACAAUGGGCGCAAGUCUGAUCCAGUCACGCUGCGUGAGUGAUGAAGGCCUUCGGGUUGUAAAGCUCUGUGGGGAGGGACGAAAAUGGCCAGUAAGAAACGACUGGUCCUUGACGGUACUUUCUUAGUAAGCACCGGCUAACUCUGUGCCAGCAGUCGUGGUAAUACAGAGGGUGCGAACGUUGCUCGGAAUUACUGGGCGUAAAGCGCGUGUAGGUGGAUUGCUAAGUCGGGUGUGAAAGCCCUAGGCUCAAUCUGGGAACUGCGCUCGAAACUGGCAGUCUCGAGUAUCGGAGAGGGCGGCGGAAUUCCUGGUGUAGAGGUGAAAUUCGUAGAUAUCAGGAGGAACAUUGGUGGCGAAGGUGGCCGCCUGGACGAUUACUGACGUUGAGACGCGAAAGUGUGGGGAGAAAACAGGAUUAGAUAUCCUGGUAGUCCAUGUUGUAAACGAUGGGUGCUGGGUGUCGCGGGUACUGAUUCCUGCGGUGCCGUAGUUAACGCGUUAAGUACUCCGCCUGGGAAGUACGGUCGUAAGGCUAAAACUCAAAGGAAUUGAUGGGGGCCCGCACAAGUAGUGGAGCAUGUGGUUUAAUUCGACGCAACGCGCAGAAUCUUACCCGGGCUAGAAAAGUAUGGAAUCUUUUGGAAACAUUGGGGUGCUCGCAAGAGAGUUAUGAUCCAGGUGCUGCAUGGCUGUCGUCAGCUCGUGUCGUGAGAUGUUGGGUUAAGUCCCGCAACGAGCGCAACUCUUGUCCUUAGUUGCCAUCAUUUAGUUGGGUACUCUAAGGAGACUGCCGGCGUCAAGCUGGAGGAAGGUGGGGAUGACGUCAAGUUCUCAUGGUCCUUAUGUCUGGGGCUACACACGUGCUAUAAUGGUCGGUACAGAACGUCGCGUACCCGCGAGGGGAAGUCAAUCGGCAAAAGUCGAUCUCAGUACGGAUUGCAGUCUGCAAUUCGAUUGCAUGAAGUCGGAAUUGCUAGUAAUCGCUAAUCAGCAGGUAGUGGUGAAUACGUUCUCGGGUCUUGUAUACAUUGUCUGUCACAUUAUGGGAAUCGAUUGCUCCAGAAGUGGUCGAGCCAAUUUGUAAGGGAGGUAGGUCCUUAAGGAGUGGUCGGUGAUUGGGGUGAAGUCGUAACAAGGUA
RNAcentral lists this ribosomal RNA (1514 nucleotides) under metagenome. Its description in RNAcentral is "bacterial SSU rRNA". It matches the Rfam family "Bacterial small subunit ribosomal RNA". The record is from RNAcentral.